RNAcentral lists this ribosomal RNA (227 nucleotides) under uncultured bacterium. RNAcentral's name for it is "partial 16S ribosomal RNA". It matches the Rfam family "Bacterial small subunit ribosomal RNA", at positions 107 to 334 of the family's 1533-position model. The record is from RNAcentral.
UGAGUAACACGUAUCCAACCUGCCGUCUACUCUUGGACAGCCUUCUGAAAGGAAGAUUAAUACAAGAUGGCAUCAUGAGUCCACAUGUUCACAUGAUUAAAGGUAUUCCGGUAGACGAUGGGGAUGCGUUCCAUUAGAUAGUAGGCGGGGUAACGGCCCACCUAGUCUUCGAUGGAUAGGGGUUCUGAGAGGAAGGUCCCCCACAUUGGAACUGAGACACGGUCUAA